RNAcentral lists this ribosomal RNA (354 nucleotides) under uncultured bacterium. RNAcentral's name for it is "bacterial SSU rRNA". It matches the Rfam family "Bacterial small subunit ribosomal RNA", at positions 32 to 368 of the family's 1533-position model. The record is from RNAcentral.
AAUCAACGCUGGCGGCGUGCCUCAGACAUGCAAGUCGAACGCGAAAGUUUCCUUCGGGAGACAAGUAGAGUGGCGCACGGGUGAGUAACACGUAGGUAAUCUACCUUUGGAUGGGGAAUAACAACCGGAAACGGUUGCUAAUACCGCAUAAUGCAGCGGCACCUAAUGGUGACAGUUGUUAAAGCGGGGAUCGAAGACCUCGCGUCUAAAGAGGAGCCUGCGGCGGAUUAGCAGUUGGUAAGGUAAUGGCUUACCAAGGCUACGAUCCGUAACCGGCCUGAGAGGGCGGUCGGUCACACCGACACUGACAUACGGGUCAGACUCCUACGGGAGGCAGCAGUCGGGAAUUUUGGG